AUCCAGCUAACGAGUCCCAAAUAGGACGAAGUGUCGCACGUCCUGGAU
This 48-nucleotide non-coding RNA is filed under the name Schistosoma curassoni. Lineage: Eukaryota; Metazoa; Platyhelminthes; Trematoda; Strigeidida; Schistosomatidae. The record is from RNAcentral.